This 500-nucleotide ribosomal RNA is filed under the name uncultured bacterium. RNAcentral describes it as "partial 16S ribosomal RNA". It matches the Rfam family "Bacterial small subunit ribosomal RNA", at positions 30 to 523 of the family's 1533-position model. The record is from RNAcentral.
AUUGAACGCUGGCGGAAUGCUUUACACAUGCAAGUCGAACGGCAGCACGGACUUCGGUCUGGUGGCGAGUGGCGAACGGGUGAGUAAUAUAUCGGAACGUGCCCAGUCGUGGGGGAUAACGUAGUGAAAAUUACGCUAAUACCGCAUACGAUCUAUGGAUGAAAGCGGGGGAUCGCAAGACCUCGCGCGAUUGGAGCGGCCGAUAUCAGAUUAGGUAGUUGGUGAGGUAAAGGCUCACCAAGCCGAAGAUCUGUAGCUGGUCUGAGAGGACGAACAGCCACACUGAAACUGAGACACGGUCCAGACUCCUGCGGAAGGCAGUAGUGGGGAAUUUUGGACAAUGGACGCAAGUCUGAUCCAGCCAUUCCGCGGGCAGGACGAAGGCCUUCGGGUUGAAAACUGCUUUUGUACAGAACAAAAAGGUCUCUAUUAAUACUAGGGGCUAAUGACGGUACUGUAAGAAAAAGCACCGGCUAACUACGUGCCAGCCGCCGCCGUAA